Molecule: long non-coding RNA, 527 nt
Organism: Mytilus californianus (California mussel)
Lineage: Eukaryota; Metazoa; Mollusca; Bivalvia; Mytilida; Mytilidae
Exons: 3
Source: RefSeq, a predicted model, not a curated record
UGUGUUACCUUAACCUCAUUGGUUGAUAUCUUUGGCGGAAGUACAUGGGAUACAUCCUCAUUCUUUCAAUAUCCAAGCUGUGGGAUGGUCGUGCUCCACGUGUUGUCGGCAAAUUUUCAGAUCAUGGGUGUUACUGACAAGCUGAUGUCUGAAGGAGAAGCAAUAUGACAUUCUACGAUAAUUCAUGUCAAUGAGGAUCAUCCUUAAAGGACAGGAUUUUUCUGAUCAGAAUCUGUUUUAGCAGAGUUGAGAAGAAUCAAGUGGAAAUACAAUUGUCAAUGUUCCUGAUUGGGAAGGAAAGAGUGAGUUUGAUCCAACAACAGUAAAGUAAGCGACAAGCCAGCAUAGUUGACACUUGAAGGUGAAGUCCCUUUGCUUACAACAAGCUUUCAUCAUGCUGAAGAUGUGAUACAAAUGAUGUUCAUUUUGAUAUGAGUUCAUUGCCUUAACGAGACUUCAUAAAUUUGUAUGUGGUCGAAUUCAUGAGAACUUAUUGAAUUGUGAAACUAUUUAUAAAGAAAUGUGUA